CUCGCCCCGGCCUCUGCAUCGAGUGAUGCAUACAGCCAUUUUAUUUAAUAGCAGAAAAGAUCCGAAGUAGGUACAAAGUCGAAAGUAAAGGGAAAAUAAAUUACAAGGCGAUGAACGCCUAAGCCGAAUAUCUGGAUAGGAGUAGUUGACUAAUUCCCUAUUCUAUCAGCAUGUCGCCAUCCAUAUCGGCUGAAGAUAGCCUGAGCUACCAUCUUCCAUCGGGCACACCCAGUAACCAAAGGCUCCCUGGUUUCCACAGGAGUGAGUAAGGACCACAUGCGGAUCAAUGCGGUAGCCCUGAAGAUGAC
This 308-nucleotide long non-coding RNA is filed under the name Hordeum vulgare. Its description in RNAcentral is "long non-coding RNA (HVUL_LNC017027)". The record is from RNAcentral. Lineage: Eukaryota; Viridiplantae; Streptophyta; Magnoliopsida; Poales; Poaceae.